Gallus gallus (chicken) is the source of this 3232-nucleotide long non-coding RNA. The record is from Ensembl. NCBI's taxonomy places the organism in Eukaryota, Metazoa, Chordata, Aves, Galliformes, Phasianidae.
CCCAGCUUCUGAGAACGAGUUAUUGCAACAACCGAAACCCUUAUUUAUCCUUUUGCUCCCGACAUGAGUUGCAUAAUUUAUCAUUUAAAUAUGGGGCCCCGCAGACUUCUGCAUGCCGUUUUGCUCCAUCGGCGAAAGGGAAACUUAGAAUCAAUUCAACAACUCUCUUGCGGUUUGGAGAAAGGGCUAGUUUAAUUAUUUUUUUUGUUUGAAAAAACAAAACAAAACAAAACACAUUCCCUCUAUGAUUUUCCCGCUGAAUUCAGUGGUACCAUUUCUAAAAUCGUAUAGAUCUUGCAUUAAAUGAUCAUCGGUAAUGCGUACAGCCCAGUCUAUAACUCGUCCUGCUUCCUGGGCAUGCCGAGGCCCAGCUGCGACUCUCCGCCCUCCGCGGUGCGGGCUGCGGGUGCGCAGGGGCGGCGGCGGCCAUCCGCGGGGCCGCAGCAAUGUUCGCCGCGGGGCCACCCAUCUCCCAGCGCCGGGCUUUGCCUCUCCUCACUUUUAGGUCGAAUCCGGACCUCGGCGGAGAGUCGGGCCGGGCGGCGGCUCUUCUCUUCUGUGAAAGGAAAAAAAAAAACAAAAAACAAAAAGCAAAAAAAAAACCCAAAAAAACCAAAAAGGAACAAGUGGUUUAGGGAGCAGAGGCUGCGCUGCAGGUCUCCUCCUCCUCCCAAACCGACGGGCGGCCAUCUGUGCAGACCGCAGCUCGUUAACAUCGGGCGCGCCGUUCUCCCGCAAACACAGCCUCACGCCCGCGUGUGCGCACAUAGGCAGGGGAAGCCCCGCGCGGCGCGGGCACGGUGGGGUGGCGGAGGGGCGAAGACGUGCGGAGAAGGCAGGGAGCGGAGAGGAGGAACUGAUUGAAACAUUCGCCCCCAUAUAGAGCAAUCCCCUCCCGAUUCAGCCCCCGCAAUUCGUCUCUCAGCCCCGUGGAGAUAUGAUGAGAAAAGGAGACGAGUUAAUGAGCCCAUACUUUGCGGCUGGGAGGAGGAGGAGGCGACAGCGCCGUGUCUGUCCCACCGCCGCGUUUGUGAGGCCCGGCUGUGUCGGAGGAACGGCUCGGCCCCGGCCACUGCCCGGCCUCGGGGGCACCGAGGGACACCUCCAUGGCAGUGGGCGGCGGCGGCACCUGCUGCGGCGAGCCGGGGGGGAACAGCGCGGGGAGCCCCGUUGGCAGACCCCUUCCUCGGCGCUUGAGAAAUAAAUCUAUAGCACCAACCGCAAGUCCUCCUGCCGGCUGCCUACUGACUUCUAGCUGGAGGGAGGCCCUGUUCACGCACGACGUAAAAUACCGGAGGAACAGCUGGUGCAGCGGUCUCAGUGCACAGACAUAGCCGUGAACCCGGCUUGCCGGGCCGCGCAUCUCGCCGCAGCCCGCAGCGUCCCGCCGGGCAUCCCACCGCUCCAAACACUCUCUCCUCCCGGACUCCCCCUGCACGGUUUUGCCGCAGCCCCGAAGGACGCCCCGAGUGCGGGCCCGGACGGGUCCGGGGGAGGAGAGCUGCCGGCUCCCUCGGCAAUAACCAUCGGUUACCCCAAAGGGAACGGACGCGGCCCCACCGGGCUCCUCUCCCUUACGCUCUAAAAACUAAACGGGACCGUACGGAGCUCUCCUGCAGGGACCCGCGGCCCGCAGGGCGGCCUUGCAGCCGCACGCCAAGAACGGAACGCCGCGGAUCUCGCGUCCGACCUUCCGCUCGUUGACAACAGCGGCUUUUACCCUGCGAUGGCUACCAGCAAAACAGCAAAGCAUCGUUCUUCGACCCGCAAGAGUACUGAAAACUAAGGCGACGGGGCACUUCGAGACGUAAACGCACGUAACCACGGCGGCUUUCCUUCCCCACCCCAGACAACAAUGAAUAACUUUUUUUUUUUUUUUCCUCGAAAAUUUACAUUAUCCCCCCAUCUACAAAAUCGUUUUAAAUACUGUUACUGAAAGCCGCUGUCCCGAUUCGAUAGGCUGGCGGCCCAAGCCCACAGCACAACACCGCACGCCUGUCCUAAAACACACGCUUCUUCUUCUUCUUUUUUCACGCUAAAACUCCGAAUACUGGAAAUAGACGUUUUGGUUAAGAAGGAACUUCAGUCUGCGAAAGGGACGUAUACGGGCCGUGCUCAAACGAGAGACCGAAGCCAACCCAGCCCGCUAUGCGGCUCGCUCCGACCACCUCCUCGCCCCCGUCUCAGCGGCUCACGCACUCGGUCCGCUCAUCACCCAGCCCCGUCCCCGCGCUCAUUUCAUACCAUACGAAUCGAAAAGUAGAAACACAUGUCCUCGUUAUCGUCACAGAAAUGGAAGAGGCUCUGACAAAUCUCGGAAGCUCCGAAAAACACCACGAUGUCUCUGCACAGAGAGACGGGGAGGGAGAUGUCCCGAGGAUGGGAGAAGUACAGCGGAGGAAAAGGGCCGAAACAAACUGCCUGGCAGGGCUCCUUGGGUCUUUUGCUUUGGUUCUCCAAUUGUUAUUGUUGUUAUUAUCGUUAUUAUUAUUUUGAAAAUUAAAAAUUUUAUUUUGGAAAAUGUGUAAAAAUCUUACAUUAAAAUGGUACAAUAAUACUUGCCAGUAAUUUUUAACAAUAUUCCUUGUAAAGAAUACGCAUAAAGUACAAAAUAAAAACUCCGUAAGCCUAUUAUAAUACAAAACACAGGUUAAAAUAAGAAAUGAUAAUCUUGAUUUUCUUCUGUGUAAACAUGUUAAUCUUUUCUUUUCUUUUAUAAAAGUACAUGAGACAAGUGUACUAAAAUGAAAAAGUAUUGCUUUGCUGUCCUCCCUCAAGCCUUCUCUGUUCCUGUAAAUCACUGUUUUCAAGCUCCUAGACCUGAGAAUCUCUGAACUUUGACGGUUUAGAGACGUUAUUUAUUAUUAUUACUUUUUUUCUUCUUUCUUUCUUUCUCUCUUUCUUUCUUUCUUUCUUUCUUUUUUUUUUUAAGGAGUAACGAGUAACUUUCCAACAGCGUGACCGCCUGCCCGUGCAGCACACCGACCUGGCUGUGCAUCGGACCGGUCCCGGACAACCCGCCGGCCACAGAGAACGGCCUCAUAUAUCCCCAACGCGCAAACCGCGCGCAAAUCCCGCGCAAAUCCCGCGCAAAGCCGCUCCUCCGUGCGUCCGCCGGGCAUCCGAGCGGCAAAGAAAAAGAGCCCAGAUCCUACCUUCGGAAAGACUCCGAACCCCUUAACAGUUAGAGAUGCGGGCCGCCAGGCCGGGCGCGGCGGGCAGCGCGGCGGCG